GGCGGUUGUGCUGUGUUUGCAGUGACAGAGCCUGAUGUUCAAAGCUUGGCUUCAUCCAGUUGCUUUAAUGGGAUAGCAAGUGAAUGCCUGCCUGCAAGCUACAGCAGCCAUGAUGCCAAGUCUGCUAAGGAAGCCUGCAUUUCAGAGAUUGGGCUGUACCCCUGUACCCAAAAUGGCUGUACCCCUGAUUUGCCGAGGCUUGGAACAACAAUCAAAUGAUUGAUCCAUUUCACUACACAUCCAUAGCCUCUUUCAGGCCACAUAUCCCUGAAGUCUCUGUAUAUAAUGCUAUGGUUGCAGCUGAAUUUUGUGAUGACAGCUCUCCUGCCUGGAUUUCUGGAGCCUAGAAAGAAGAGAAAGUAGAACCUAGAAGGCCCAGAUGAAAUCGGAGCCACACUAUGCAAGGCUGCCUACAAACACAUGAGGUGACUGGAUGCAAAGGGCAGAAUACACUGUGUCUUGUAAAUGGCUGAUGCAAGAUCCCUGCAGUGGAAAAUGGAAGCUCCAGAGGAAUUGAGAUUCCAAGAUGACUCUGAGACACAACUAUUUCCUGGUGUUGUUCCAUAUUCAGGACUGAGCCUAACGACACAAUCUAACCCUAUUUUAGUUUGCCUUUAAACCUUGCAUAUUUACUAGCUUUCAUUUUGCUCUAACGUGUGCAUUUUUAUUUGAAUUUGUUUUGUAUUCUUAAAAUCAUUGCCUAUUGUCUGAUUAAAAAUCAAUUUUCUUU
Molecule: long non-coding RNA, 730 nt
Organism: Malaclemys terrapin pileata
Lineage: Eukaryota; Metazoa; Chordata; Testudines; Emydidae
Exons: 5
Source: RefSeq, a predicted model, not a curated record